This 496-nucleotide ribosomal RNA is filed under the name uncultured bacterium. RNAcentral's name for it is "partial 16S ribosomal RNA". It matches the Rfam family "Bacterial small subunit ribosomal RNA", at positions 28 to 507 of the family's 1533-position model. The record is from RNAcentral.
GAUGAACGCUGGCGGCGUGCCUAAAAAUUCCAAGCGGACGGACCGACGAGGAACUUGCUUCUCUGAUGUUAGCGGCGGACGGGGUAGUAACCCGUUGGUAACCUACCUAUAAGACUGGGGUAAAUUCGGGAAACCGGAGCUAAUACCGGAUGAUAUUUUUAACCGGAUGGGUUAAAAGUGAAAGGCGGUCUUUCUUGCACUUAUAGAUGGAUCCGCGCUGCAUUAGCUAGUUGGUAAGGUAACGGCUUACCAAGGCAACGAUGCAUAGCCGACCUGAGAGGGUGAUCGGCCACACUGGAACUGAGACACGGUCCAGACUCCUACGGGAGGCAGCAGUAGGGAAUCUUCCGCAAUGGGCGAAAGCCUGACGGAGCAACGCCGCGUGAGUGAUGAAGGUCUUCGGAUCGUAAAACUCUGUUAUUAGGGAAGAACAUAUGUGUAAGUAACUGUGCACAUCUUGACGGUACCUAAUCAGAAAGCCACGGCUAACUACGUG